CGCAAAGCAGGGCUGUGUCCGUGCUGCCAUCUCCGCGGCGUAAAUACUCCCGCCCUGGCUGAUUUCAAGCUCCCGCAACAGGUGGUAUGACUUAAAAAGACAUAAUUCAGUAUCAUGCCCUUCGGUGAGCGUGUGGCGUCCCACACAGGAAGCUGGGAUGUCCUCUGAGUAUCAGCCUAAUACCAACCCAGAAGAGCAUGUUGCCACAUCAAUUGGAGGCAAAAGAAAACAUCUAUCAACAAGACCUGUUGGCUUUACUUUGCAAGGGCAAUGAAAGCUCUUGGAUGAGAUAAGUGCUGUCACCCCUGGAGGAGUGCCCAACAUGUGGGAGGGUGUGGGGAUUGCCCUAGGUACCAGCAAUGCAUAGAGUUAAGGGUGCCUGCUGCCAUCUCCAUUGCCUUUAGGAUCAAAGGCAGUUCCACAGUGGAAAUAUGGAUGAGCAAGAGCCAAUGCUCAGGUCCACACAUAUGGCCCAAGUCCAAGGACCCUCAGUAGCUCAGUGUCCUGAACUCUUCCUGUGUCUGACAUGAGUGAGAGUCACUCCAAAUCAGUGUGUUAGUACCAUUCUGCCCGAUCAGUCGGGGAUGAUUUCAUAAUAAAAUACCCUGCCUGCCACAGGGCUCCAGUUUGAUGCUAUACAUGUGAGUCCUCAAACUCCUCAUGCCAUCUGGCCCACCUCAAGAGCAAAGUAGAGGAUCAGAGAAUGCCCAAAGGGAAGAAAGGGGCACAUACGCCUCCUGAUCCGAGUUUGGGUCUCCCUUUCUGAAUGGCUCUGCAGACUCUGGCAGGUCUUAGGAACCACGAGAAGACAGAAAUUUUCCAGGAAGCCGCUCCAAAGUGCAGGACUGCCUGUGGCGUGGGGCCUGGCUCUCUGGGGUGGAAGGGAGGUAUUGAUGUUACUAAGAUUACCAAGGUAGGGCUUCGUGCAUCAGCCUUCUUGCUCCCAGGGUCUUCACUUGCACUGCUUGUUUCCUAAAUGAUCUGCUAUGACCCCAAGAAAAAAAAGAAAGGUAUGUUUGUGGGGUCUUAUUAGUAAAGAAGUAUGAUGUUGUAGAACUCAUCUAUGUCUUCAGGUCAGUCUCAGCUAUUUGCUACUUACAUGUCUUUGGGCAUGCUAUUAGCCACUACGUUACUCAGUUUCCUUAUCUAUGAAAUGGGCAUAGAAAUAAUACUCAAUAAAACUCGCAAGAUGUUGUCAGAAUUAAUAUGAGACAAUAUAUGUAAAAAUAUUUUUUAAACUUGUAAGGACU
Molecule: long non-coding RNA, 1250 nt
Organism: Cercocebus atys (sooty mangabey)
Lineage: Eukaryota; Metazoa; Chordata; Mammalia; Primates; Cercopithecidae
Exons: 3
Source: RefSeq, a predicted model, not a curated record